Cavia porcellus (domestic guinea pig) is the source of this 137-nucleotide small nucleolar RNA. The record is from Ensembl. NCBI's taxonomy places the organism in Eukaryota, Metazoa, Chordata, Mammalia, Rodentia, Caviidae.
AUAGCCCUGACUCAAGGCCAGAAGUUUUUUGAAGCUGUUGGUUUCAAGCAGGAACCUAAAGUGGUAUCUGUCUAUGGCCUUUUGACCAUUUCAGAAGUAUAGAAAUGUAAUGGCCAAUUCAUUAGAACAAAACACCC